RNAcentral lists this ribosomal RNA (749 nucleotides) under Sporosarcina sp. J44. Its description in RNAcentral is "16S ribosomal RNA". Lineage: Bacteria; Bacillati; Bacillota; Bacilli; Caryophanales; Caryophanaceae. The record is from RNAcentral.
UUAAUGCGUUACUGGCAGCACUAAGGGGCGGAAACCCCCUAACACUUAGCACUCAUCGUUUACGGCGUGGACUACCAGGGUAUCUAAUCCUGUUUGCUCCCCACGCUUUCGCGCCUCAGCGUCAGUUACAGACCAGAAAGCCGCCUUCGCCACUGGUGUUCCUCCACAUAUCUACGCAUUUCACCGCUACACGUGGAAUUCCGCUUUCCUCUUCUGUACUCAAGUCCCCCAGUUUCCAAUGACCCUCCACGGUUGAGCCGUGGGCUUUCACAUCAGACUUAAAGGACCGCCUGCGCGCGCUUUACGCCCAAUAAUUCCGGACAACGCUUGCCACCUACGUAUUACCGCGGCUGCUGGCACGUAUUAGCCGUGGCUUUCUAAUAAGGUACCGUCAAGGUACGAGCAGUUACUCUCGUACGUGUUCUUCCCUUACAACAGAGUUUUACGAUCCGAAAACCUUCUUCACUCACGCGGCGUUGCUCCAUCAGACUUUCGUCCAUUGUGGAAGAUUCCCUACUGCUGCCUCCCGUAGAGUCUGGGCCGUGUCUCAGUCCCAGUGUGGCCGAUCACCCUCUCAGGUCGGCUACGCAUCGUUGCCUUGGUAGGCCGUUACCCUACCAACUAGCUAAUGCGCCGCGGGCCCAUCUUGUAGUGACAGCSGAAGCCGCCUUUUAACAUMUUGCCAURAAGCAAAAUAGRUUAUUCUGUAUUAUCCCCGGUUUCCCGGAGUUAUCCAAUCUAAAGGUAGG